This is a long non-coding RNA of Leopardus geoffroyi (Geoffroy's cat), 270 nucleotides long. RefSeq lists it as uncharacterized. The record is from RefSeq and is a predicted model, not a curated record. NCBI's taxonomy places the organism in Eukaryota, Metazoa, Chordata, Mammalia, Carnivora, Felidae. The transcript has 2 exons.
UCUCUCCCGUAUCUCAUCGCUGCGUCGGUGCAGGUCAACAAGGUUUUUCAAGAGGACAAGUGCAAAGCAGUCGGAUCUAUUCCAGACAAAGCACCAUGGAAACACUCUGCUGGGCGAUGAGGGGAAGUGGAGCAGAUAGGCCAUCAUAAGAAUAAUGAGUUGGAAGCUCUAAAGAAGGGGUGAUUCAUACAUUUUAAUUUAUGAUUGGGUUCUUAUGUGGUGGAGUGUUUUACCAUCAAAGAUAGCAUAAAAAUAUAGCAUAUUUACCAA